CAGACAAGCACCACCAUGGCCAGGAUAUUCACCCUUGGAAUCAAGACACCAUACUGUGAGUAUGCCAAGCAGCCACAUGGAAAGGCCAAUAGAGCUGUUCCAAGCACAGCCUCAGCUAGGUCCCAGGAGAUGACCAGCAUCAAGCACCAGACAAAGUACUUCAAUGACUGUCAUCUUGUCCACAUCCCCAGCUUUCACAAGACAGGUCUGCUGUGAUUUCAGCUUCUUCUAGUUGACUCUAUGAUGCUUGGCUUCUAGCAAAUCUGCUUCCUUCCUUUGUCCAUCCAUGCUGAUGGAUGGUAACAGCAAUAGCAAGAAGCUGGAUUUUUCUCAUCAUUCGUUACAGUAUGUGGAUUCUCAGAUAUUCCACCACCUAUUUAACAAAUUCCAUGUAUUACAUUAUUUAUGUUUUAAAUACUGUAAUAAGCCUAUCUUUUGUUUCCUUGGUUGGACCCUACCUGAGUACAAAUUUAGCUAAAGGAACCCAGAUACAUAGAGGACAAGGACAUUUGGAGUUCAUCCAUCAUGUGUGAACUUCUUAUCCAUCUCCUAACCAAGGUGGGAGGGAGCAUCAUUGAUCAACUGAAUUUUGGCUAGAUUGCUGCUCAUACAUGACUCAGCUGGCCCUUAGUAUUUUGAUUAUUUCUCCAAUUCUUUAGUGUGUAUUUGGAAUAAAUUCAUUCAACAUCUCUGAAUAUCUGGAGCUAGGUUUGUAUGAGAAGGCAAGUAGAAGUCUUGGCUCUCCCACCACUGCUCAAAAUAGUAAAUCUAAAAGAACAUUUCAUCCUAGUGGAAAAUUCCAGGGUGAUGCUGUCACAUUCCCCUUUAGAUUGACUGUUUGGCUCAUACUAAAGAGAGCUGCUAAUGUAAAUGUGGCCUUUUAACUUGAGUAAAUUAUAUAACUGCUGGACCCUGUUAUGCAUCUACUGAUCUAGCAAAUUAUUUGUAUUCCAAUAAAGAGAAUACUAGAAACAGUUGGCUUUUACCAAGUAGUGACAGCAAUAAGCCAUCUCCUUCUUAUCUAUAAUUUACAUAAAUGCCUCUGCUCUUUACCAUGUAGUCAUCCAAAAUCCAAAGAGUUCUUAAUCACAUUAGCAUAGCCACUGAACAUCAAAAUUACACACUAUUUCGAUGAUGUAAUGCUAAUAUGUUCUCAAAAGUAAGACACAGAAGAUAUUCAAAUGUCUUAGUAUGGCACGUGGGUGUCAGUUAUGGGACAUAAAUCUCAUGAAAUCGAAACUGUGGCCUAAAGAGUUAAACCAAUGACUACAUUCUUGGAUUUAUAGAAUAGCAUAUAAGAAAAGAAGCAAGGUCCUAAAAAGCUAAUAUUGAAACUGUAUCUCAAAGAGUAAGAACCUGGUAACUAACAAACAUUCUUGAGUUUACAGGAUAGCACAUAAGAAAAGAAACAACUUGCUGCAAUGCCGAAAUGCCCUCUGCUUGUGAGAUGAAAAACAACUGGCUGAAAUUGGUAGGAACUAAGAUGGCUGACUGGAGUUUGUGCAGAAGGAGCUUACUGACGUCACAGUCUGAAUUUCCACCACGUGUUUCACGCUAACUCCCCCUGAAUUUGCACAUGCAACCCAUGAGUUACCAUGAACUGCACAUGUCCAAGGACUUUCCAGACCUCCCCUUUCCUUCUACCAAUCACCUACUAAUCUCAGAAUCCAUCCCCUGAACCAUUUCUAAUAAAAAGACUGCAUUGAAG
Molecule: long non-coding RNA, 1708 nt
Filed under: Homo sapiens (human)
Lineage: Eukaryota; Metazoa; Chordata; Mammalia; Primates; Hominidae
Description: HSALNT0128093
Source: RNAcentral